GGCAAAGUAUAGGUAUGUUUCCACCGGGUUUGGGAGUUGUAAAACUCCGUAAUGAUUUCCGUAGGGGUGACCUGCGGAGGGAUCAUUACCGAGUUUACAACUCCCAAACCCCUGUGAACAUACCUAUACGUUGCCUCGGCGGAUCAGCCCGCGCCCCGUAAAACGGGACGGCCCGCCCGAGGACCCUAAACUCUGUUUUUAGUGGAACUUCUGAGUAAAACAAACAAAUAAAUCAAAACUUUCAACAACGGAUCUCUUGGUUCUGGCAUCGAUGAAGAACGCAGCAAAAUGCGAUAAGUAAUGUGAAUUGCAGAAUUCAGUGAAUCAUCGAAUCUUUGAACGCACAUUGCGCCCGCCAGUAUUCUGGCGGGCAUGCCUGUUCGAGCGUCAUUUCAACCCUCAAGCUCAGCUUGGUGUUGGGACUCGCGGUAACCCGCGUUCCCCAAAUCGAUUGGCGGUCACGUCGAGCUUCCAUAGCGUAGUAAUCAUACACCUCGUUACUGGUAAUCGUCGCGGCCACGCCGUUAAACCCCAACUUCUGAAUGUUGACCUCGGAUCAGGUAGGAAUACCCGCUGAACUUAA
RNAcentral lists this ribosomal RNA (583 nucleotides) under Fusarium sp. RNAcentral describes it as "eukaryotic LSU rRNA". The stretch from base 237 to 390 matches the Rfam family "5.8S ribosomal RNA". The record is from RNAcentral. Lineage: Eukaryota; Fungi; Ascomycota; Sordariomycetes; Hypocreales; Nectriaceae.